AGUGAACGCUGGCGGUAGGCCUAACACAUGCAAGUCGAACGGCAGCACAGUAAGAGCUUGCUCUUACGGGUGGCGAGUGGCGAACGGUUGAGGAAUACAUCGGAAUCUACUUUUUCGUGGGGGAUAACGUAGGGUAACUUACGCUAAUACCGCAUACGACCUACGGGUGAAAGCAGGGGAUCUUCGGACCUUUCGCGAUUGAAUGAGCCGAUGUCGGCUUAGCUAGUUGGCGGGGUAAAGGCCCACCAAGGCGACGAUCCGUAGCUGGUCUGAGAGGAAGAUGAGCGAGAGUGGAAAAGAGACAGGGUACAGACUCCUAAGGGAGGAAGCAGUGGGGAAUAUUGGACAAUGGGGGAAAGCGUGAUACAGCAAUAGGGCGUGGGGGAAGAAGGAGUUAGGGUUGGAAAGACCUUUUGUUGGGAAAGAAAAGCAGCAGGUUAAGACGCGGCUGUUCUGACGGUACCCAAAGAAUAAGCACCGGCUAACUUCGUG
RNAcentral lists this ribosomal RNA (492 nucleotides) under uncultured bacterium. Its description in RNAcentral is "partial 16S ribosomal RNA". It matches the Rfam family "Bacterial small subunit ribosomal RNA", at positions 29 to 507 of the family's 1533-position model. The record is from RNAcentral.